Molecule: ribosomal RNA, 253 nt
Filed under: uncultured bacterium
Lineage: Bacteria
Description: partial 16S ribosomal RNA
Rfam family: Bacterial small subunit ribosomal RNA
Source: RNAcentral
UACGUAGGGUGCAGGCGUUAAUCGGAAUUACUGGGCGUAAAGCGCACGUAGGCGGAUUGCUAAGUCAGGGGUGAAAUCCUGGAGCUCAACUCCAGAACUGCCUUUGAUACUGGUGAUCUUGAGUCCGGGAGAGGUGAGUGGAACUGCGAGUGUAGAGGUGAAAUUCGUAGAUAUUCGCAAGAACACCGGUGGCGAAGGCGCUCUGCUGGACCUUAACUGACACUGAGGGACGAAAGCUAGGGGAGCGAAUGGG